CUCUCCUCUCCUCUCCUCUCCCUGGGGAGCAGCUAGCUUCUUCAGGAGCCACAGGCUCCUCCCUUUCCAGUUUCCCACCUUAGCUUCCUUUCUGCCAGCUUUAUAUAGCCCCUGUCUGAUAAGGCCAGCAGGUGUUUCUGCUGAAGCCCUUAGGCAAGCCAUACCCAGCCAGCACCAAUGAAUACCCCUUAAUUGGGGCUAGGCUAACAGGGGCCUGGCUCAGAACCUCCUAGCCAGCACCCUGUUAGAGCCACCUCGGAGUGUCUAGUGAGAAUGGUAGAGAGGUACAUUUUCUCUUACUCUUCCCCGACUCAUGGAGUAAAGCAAAAGAAGCAAGCAGGGGGUGUAGUCAGUGUUGCUGCUUAGAACUAUAACCACAGGAUGAAGCUUGUACCAGUAGUAAAAAAAAAAAAAUAGUGAAAAUCUAAUGUACAGAUGCUUUGUGCAGGAGGGUUCUCUUUCCUCCUAGAAAGGAAGGUAGGUGAUGCAGUUCUUGCUCCUGCUUCAGCUAUUAGAACCCAGGGCCAGAUGGUGCAAAGGUGCUAAGUAAUAAUCCUUCAUCUUCAUUGUGAGAGGGCUGCUGUGUUUUUCCCAUUUCCAUCCGUUGGUCCGGCCCCAGGGCUUCUGCAUUCUUCUCUGUCGCUUUUAUAUAAUACAAAUGCCAGGUAAUAAGUUCAAAAGGCUAGAUGCUGGGUUAGUUCAUCUCUCUGGUUUAUUAGGCUAGCCCUGACUAACAAGGGUGUUUUAGCUUGGGGCAGCAUGGAGGGAAAGGGAACAUUAUUUCUCACACGUUGUGCUUACUGCACUAUUCAACAGGCAAGAGAAGCAGCCAGCAGGGCUCUCACUACACUAUAAAAGAGAAGACACAAUUCCUCUUCCUUUUUUUUUUUAAGUACGUGCUAAGAUGGCCUUGUGGAACAAUAGUAAAACAGUAGCAAAUUCCACAUGUAACGGCAGCAGAGUUCUAAGGCCUGUGUUAUGCAGGGGGCCAGACUAGAUCAUGUAAUGGUCCCCUCUGGACUUAAAAUUGAUGACAUAUUAUGAAAUUUGAGUGACGUUCUUGAAAUUCUUCAGAUACACUGAGCAAGGACCAUCCUUCAAUCACUUGCUCUGUCUCAUGAGAUCACUCACAAGGGGGUGCAUUUUAACAUGAUAAUUCCUGUAAAUUAGACACCUUUCUGCUACCAAUUAGGCUGAGACUCUUCCUUCAUUUUAAUAGGAAAUCAAACAGUCCAUUCGUUUGCUGAAAAUCUGGGCCUGAUUUCAAAUGAUGGCCUACAGCUGAAGCCCUCCAUAUCCUGUCCCUAAUCUCCAUGGCCAUCCGGACCCCUGAAGCAUAAAUAUUUUAACUACAUGAAGAUAAAGUUCCAUGCCACAGGGCUUCCUCUUCUUGCACAUCAGUGACGUCUGUGAUACUCCAACCAACCCAUGUGGCAAAAAGAGGAUUUGGGUUUUUUUCAGCAUCUUUUCUUGAAAGUGAAGUGCAACCGUAUGGAUUUCGUUUUGUUAGCCCCCUCUGAAGCUGGAAACAGUUGGCAUCUCCUCUAUCCUAUAGUCUCAUUUCAGCACCAGUAGCCCUCCACUGUCACUGGCUAGGAGGAGGAUCUUAAAAGAUUCAAGGUCCUCAGAAGCGUGAAGCACCCUGUUGUAUUGGGUGUAAACUCAGUACUAAUGUGUGAAAAGAAAUAAUUAGAAAGGACUGUUUUACACUUGAAAAGACUUCAAAAGCCUGUGGAAGUGAAUUCAGCACAAAUGAGAGGCUAUCCAUUUAUCUAUCCUGCCCCUUGCUGAAGUAUCUAAGUGCUCAUGUGAUUCGCUUUGUAUGAAGGUAGUUAUACCUGAUGAAACCCUUUACUACACCCAGGGACGGUGGUAUGCCCAUGCUUUUUACUUGGGGGAGAUAGUUCAGUGGUUUGAGUAUUGGCCUGCUGAACCCAGGGUUGUGAGUUCAAUUCUUGAGGGGGCCAUUUAGGGAUCUGGGCCAAAAAUUGGGGAUUAGUCCUGCUUUGAGCAGCGGGUUAGACUAGAUGACCUCCUGAGGUCCCUUCUAACCCUGAUAUUCUAUAAACAUGUUUCAGAUAAUGCAAUGAUGAAAAUAUAAGAACCUCCUCCAGCAGGGUCAGCUCUGGAGGCUUCUUUCUUUAGCACUCAGACUUGGAGUGGAGUUUCUGUUAUAUUCUCUUUGUCUACUGGGCAUUACCUUAGGAAUGGCAUCAAAGAGUCAAACACUCCAUCACUGCCAAAGACUUUUAACUGUUUAACCAAAACAAGUGUUUUCUAGCCAUAAGAGCAGGGGUUUUGGAGUCAGCAUCAAGCAAUCCAGCAACUUUAAAUCAAAUCAAACCCUCCAUGUACAAGUUAUUGUUUCUCAGCUCAACAACCAAACCAGCCUUCCAAGCUCCCCUCACUCCAAAGCAUUCAGAGUUCAUAUCACUAAGCAAAAGGAUCAGAACAUUGUGACACACUGAAGGAAUGGUUGUCUGUGGGGAUGCAGAUGACCCAUCCAUCAGAAGGGAGGAGGGAUUUCCCCUGGCUGGUGAGACACAGAAAGCAGCUAUGGAAGAACUUCUGGGGAAAGGUGAAUCCAAAUGAAAAUAGACACUCUUAGCCCAGAGAGCAGAGAUCACAACUCUCUAGAAGAAGAGUGUGGGGAAGGUCCCAAUGCUGGGAGUGGGGAUCACACAGUAACCCCAAGAAGGGAGAUGGAUUUUUUUCAUAUGUAGAGUUCUAGGGUUGGGAGACAGCUCAACAGAGGGCCAGCCAAUAUGCAGGAUCUCCCUGAACCAUUAUCUCACCAGACCCUGUGGUGCCAGAAUCCCAAAUGUAGGAUUAGAUUGAGAACACAGGCAGAAAAGAACACUGGAGGAAAAGAAAAGCCAGUAACUGAUUACAUGCAAAGGUUCAGGAAGGAGAUAAAUGACACAAUGAGUAAUUAACAAACCAACCUCAAACCCAGGCUGAUUAAACCGAAGGCGUAGUAUAGUAAAAAUACUUGGAAACGCCUACCCGUGGUGAAAGAUUUGCUGUUACAGUUAAACCUUGUAAUAAGGAUUUUGAUACUGAUGUUAAACCCCGUGAUAAGAUACUGUGCACAAUUUUUGGGAAGAGCCUUUGAGCAUACUAGGAAUGAUAAUUGGGAACACCUGUAAUGAUAAGAAACCUCAUGAUAAUGUUGCUGCUCAGCUAUUAUCUGUAAACACACUUAAAGUUUGUCACUGCAGAGAAACUAUAAUAAACCUGGUUUGCUGUAUGGAAGGGGAAACUGAGGCACACCGCCUCAUGGCUUUGAUGGCUGGAUGCAAAAGAACCCUAACACACAUUGCAUUUGAGGUAGUCAGUGACUAACUAUCUUACAGUGAACUAAGGGGGGAGGUGAGACACACUGUACCUCAAAAGGGCACCCUGUAACCCCCAUAGUCAUCAUUCACAUAUAGUUGUGAUACCUCAUACAAAGUAUGCCGUGUAAGAUAUCAUAUGAAAGGUCAUGAUCUACUGAAACCCGUUGUUCUGUCCAAAUAUGUAUAUCAUUAGUAUGUGUGAAGUUAUGAGAUUUUGCUGUAUGGUUGUCACUGAAAUAUGCUGUAAGCUUGCUAGUGACAUACAAAGGAUCCCCGCCCAGGAUGGUGUUCAACGACCAUUAAUCAGCAGGGGAGUUGUGACUGAGGGAUUUAGAAGUCAGUGACAGCUGCCCAAGCACCACACAAUGGGGCCUACUCAGCUCUAUGACUCAGUUGCACAAGACCAAACCAAGGGAUUACUCAGCACAGUGAUUCAGCAAAGCCCACCAGGACAUUUCUGGGCAAGUUUCUUCAGGGCACAUGGACAAAGGAUAUAAAAUAGUAAACAGAGGCAGCCUGCUUUUGCCUUUCUCCUCCCCCACCCGCUCUGGAAGCUGCCGGAAGGCUGAGAAUAUGACAAUUUCGCCGCAGGAGACUGGUCCAGGCGUAAGGGGAAAUCUGUGUAUUAAGAACUGUAACAUCCCGUGAGUGCAACUCCUCCACCUUUUCUCCACUGCCAGUCCUUCCUGAGUUACGACAGCUUAUGCCAGAUGAGAAUCUGCGCUAUCAUAUUUUCACUGGGACCACUGGAUGAGCAUAUCAGUAACAGGGACUGGAGUGUUUCCUUUAUCUAAAAGAGAUGCAAUUAAUGAAGAUUAUUCCUCUUCAGACCCUUUCCAUACAUCUCACCAACAGCUGGCGAAUGCUGCUGAGCAAAGGCCCACUGGACUGAAAGAUUUGGGAAGGAGGAGCAAAUGGCGGCAUGUGAAUGUGAUGGCAUUCAGAGGAGAUGCUGAUCUGGCAAAUGUUGCAAAGAUUCCUGGGAAAGGAGAUGUAUUUCAGAAGGAAUCUACUACAAGGAGGUUAGAAGUAUGGACAGGAAGAAACAACAUGAUGUUCAAGCUGGAAAAUGCCUGCUGAAACAUAGCGGGGGAAAUAACCCAACACACAUAUGAAAACGGGAAAGACAGACACUGAAAGCAGCGGUGCUGGAAGGAAUGGCAGCAAGCAGCACUGAUAAUAUGCUGGAACAAAAAGCCAUGUGAGGCUUGUCUCAGAAGAGGGAGACGCUAGGCUCUCUCUGUGGGCCUGAUCCUGCAAGCUGGGAGUCAUAAGUUCACAACACUGUGCAGAAGGCACUCAGCACCGGCUAGGAUCUAAUCCUACAUGAGUCUAGUGAGACAGUGCUUACAGCAAGGCUGUUUUGAAGAGGUGCUCUGUGGCAGUGCCCCAGGAAAGGGGACUGAGUUUUCCAUUUCAGUGCCUUGGCUCUGCUGUGGGACUGGUGACACGAGAAAUAUAUUGUUGCCACCCCCGUGCUAAACCGUGCAGUUUGCACUCCUCUAUACCAGGAAAAUACUGACAAAUUAGAAGCCAUUCAGAACUCAUAAAAAAGAUUUAAGACGCUGAUGGGACUUCAUCUAAUCAAUCUGUCAGAGCUGCUGGAUGCUCAGUGCUUUGGAGAAUCAGCCCACUUAUUUACAUACGGAGGCAGGAGCCUAACAUUAGGUACCUACAUUUUAAACAAUGCUGACCCGGGUUCCCAUCUCUAGUCAGCAAAAAUGAAUUGUAGAACAUAUGGGUCAUUGUCCUGCAGGUCCUUAUGUGAAAAGGCAAAGGGCAAAGACGUUGUGCUCCAGCAGAAGCUUCUACUCUGAAUGGCAAUAAACACCAAGGUCAUCUCUGCGCUCUGAGUAGUUCAAGGCAAUACAGGGAUCAGGUGUGGACAGAGGACAGUCAUGUCUGGGGAGGCAUGCACUUAAGUGCAAUCCUCACCUUACAAAUGAGGCAUUUAGCUGGGCAUUCCCCACAUAGAUUUCAUUUCACUGCUGCUAUUAGGCAGGACUAACUUUGAAACUUCACAGGAUCAAUCUUUUUAAUGCCGGAUCAGGUUCACCUGUGCUCGCGUUCCAGCUUCUGUGUCUAUGCACUACACUCUGCCCUGAGCUGCACAAGAUCGAUUCCUUCAUGUUUCUCACCUGCAGUGCAAAAAAGGGAGCAAUCUUCCAUUGGCAGCGAGUUGAACUGGGUGAUCUAACAGGUCUAUUCCAUCUCUAGAGCAUCUGAUUCUAUGAAAGUCGCCAUGCACCAAAUUUCCCCCAGGUUCCUAUUGGCCUGGAUAUUGGUCAGAAUUGUGAGAACAAACACUGAGCUCUUCCAGUAGUUCAAGCAAUAGCUGGAGUGUCCCUGAGCAGGUUAGAAUGGGAGAUCACGUCAGACUAAAUGAAACCAGCCCCUUUCUCAAAUCACAGUUCUGACAGCCUUAUUCAUGUCUCCUCUUUGAUUCAGUGGUGGGGGAUCCCCAGCGACUUUACCUAGCUCUUUCUCAAAUGGAUCCAGCACCGCUUCUAGCAAACAACUGGUCUGUGGCAUGCUCUACGGCUGUCCAAGGAGCAGCAGCAGCACGGCUGUUCAGACAGGGGCGUGUGGGCAGCUGGCACCCUCUUCAGUUUUCCUUGUGAAUCAUCUUCUGACGUUUCAGUUCAUUUCAGUACAUGCAUUAAAAAGAAACAUUCCGAGACUGGAACAAAUGUCAGAAGGGAGAUGCCCUGAUAUAAGAAGCUAUAAUUACAUACCGAACUGCUUCUGGAUUCAUCUCUGUGAGGAAACUGCACAGAAGGUAUGAACAGUAUCCACUGAGGAAAAACCCUUGCUUACCGCCUCUAUGUUUUGUCCCUACUGAAUCAUUUCAGCGGCAUACAUUCCCACAGUGGUCAGGUGAAUAGCCCGGUUAUUUUCCUCCAGCAGAGAAAAUGAAUACGAUAUGUUAGCCCAAUGCUUGAAAAGGAAAAUGUCGUUAGUGGCCCUGACUCUCCUGGCACAAUAUUGGAAGUGAAAUUAUAUGCAGUGGUUUGAUUGGCUGCAGUGCAUUGCAGGAGCACAUGUGAAACAUACAAUUGUGACAGCAGCAUCAGUCAAACUCUGCUGCCUCACAGCUCAGGGAAAGAAAUAUUGGUACCCCAGGCACAAAGGAGAGAUUUGAAUUCCUAUUUGCUGAUUAUUUUUUUAAAAUGUAAACCGCUCAUCAGAGUUAACCAUGUUCGCGCCGCACACCGUCUCCAGGAAUAAUAAUUGUGCAGGUAUUCUGAAUGGGAUGAGAUGCGUCUUCAAGGAUCAAGAAGGGCAAACAGGUGAUGACAGAAAGUUAUUUUGUUUGAUAUGAGUGCACGAGGUCUUGGUAUACACUUUACUGAGAAGAACCUAAAAAGCCUCGAUCCUGCUGCCAAUGAAGUUAAAGGGAUUUUUGCUCCCAACAUAAUUGGAAACAGGAUGCAGCCCAGAAUAUAUUAAUUAAAAUACACUUUUAUUCAAAAAAGGGUCAUUAACAACCCUUUCACAUGUGUAGUAUGGUGAGUGGAACUGGAGAAAGAGGUUCAAGUUUCAGGAGGGACCUAGUUGGGUAUGACAAAAGGGGGCUCAGGAAUGCAAGCAGAGGCCAAUGUGGUUUUCCUCAAACUGGAGAGCUCAGCGUGUAACAAUGACCACUAAGCAUUCUUAAUAAAGAUCUCUUUCCUACACCUCUGCAAGGCUGCCUGCCACAUCAAUGAUUACUAAUGAAACAAAUUGAACGCCUUUAACUUAAAGUGCCUUUUAUAGACAAACCCACUUAUCUGCAGGACAAACCCAGAUACCUGAGUCCCCAGAUGUGGUCUGGUUUUGACGGAGACCUGAGUCAGCUGGCUAAGAGUUGUGAUCUUACGUGAUGGACUCGGGCAUUUGUUCAUAACAAAGUAUUGAAUGUGCCUUGGCAGCAGUUACAACACACUUAGUUACAGAGCACUUGGGAGAGUCUUUGGUCAUAGAAACGGUCUGUCUGAAUGCUUGAAUACAGAACUGUGCACAAGAGUUCUGUUGGGUUACAUCUAUAUCUGAGUCUUUUAAACUGCCUUUUACUUUAGCCACCUAUUCCCCCCCCCCCCCAUUGUUUACUAUACUACAUAAAGGAGUGGCCAUCAUAAACUCCUAGCAUUUUGAAAACCUCUUAAUAAUACAUUUAUAUAUAAACAGAUUCCAGCAAUUAUCCACAGAUAAUACCAACAUGAAUAUAGUGAAAACAUAACAAACCCCACUGACAAAACCAUCACUGGAGUCCCUCCCCAACCCAUUCAAGAGUCUAUAUAAAUAAUAUAUUUAUAAGCAGUAUCAUAAAUUAUACUGUUUGUGUGUUAACUGAUUUUUCUCGAAAGAAGGAACAUAACCUAGUUCUGGAGUCCAGACAUUCCUGGUCUCUAUUAGACUGGGACACAACAUUUGAUUCUCUUUUAAAUCAGAUAUGAAACGACAGGGAACUUUAUAUUCCCAAGACAUGCAUUCAGACUGGGAGUUGUGGGGGGAGUGUAUCUGCAAAUAUAGCAAGUAGAGGUGAACAAGCUACUUUUGAUAAAACGUAAACAUCACCUUUAACUUUUCUGAGGGUCAGAAAAAAAAUGGUUAACUUUUUUGAUGUGUGUUUUUUUUCAUAUUUACUGCCUUGCUACAUCCUAGAUUUGGCUAGGAGUGGAAGUGAAUCUGCCAGAAUUUAGUCAAAGGUGUUUUCCUUAUGAUAGUUCCGAUUCAGCCAGCACCAUGAAUACAGCCCUUUUCUCUUUUGGUUUCAUAUAAUAUGCCAAUCUCUCCAGUGAAUGCGGACCAGAAAGCUCAAGCUAGAAUUUCUUCUCAUUAGUGUUCCAGCCUGGCUUCCAGAUGCAGGAGUUCAGAUAAGUACACAUGGAUUUUUGCAUAAUUAUCUGGAUUGAACCUCUGAGAACGUGAGACUCGCCUAUCAUGAAUAGUCAGACAUUUCUUCCAGAAGAGAUUAGUUACCAGAAGUUACCAGAGACUUUACAAGCCAGCAGUCUGCUACAUCACUGCUACAAACCUGAUCCACAAACUUUGCAAUGAUUGUAUGAAUAUGACUUCCUUACCCAUUUUAAUUCACUCCUCUUCUUUUCUCUUAUAAAUAAACCUUUAGAUAUUAGAUACUAAA
This is an RNA transcript of Chelonia mydas (Green sea turtle), 8463 nucleotides long. RefSeq lists it as uncharacterized. The transcript has 4 exons. NCBI's taxonomy places the organism in Eukaryota, Metazoa, Chordata, Testudines, Cheloniidae. The record is from RefSeq and is a predicted model, not a curated record.